CGGUAAAGUAUAAGUAAUGGCAGAGAAAGGGAAAUUGCAGAAAAACAGAGCAGCAUGGAAAAUGACGACGCUGAAAUGCUCGGUUCAGACAGCAACGAAGCUGGCUUGGAGUUGGAUGACAUGAAGAAGCGCUUGAAGGAAAUGGAAGACGAAGCUUCUGCUUUGCGGGAGAUGCAGGCAAAGGUCGAGAAGGAAAUGGGAUCUGUACAAGCUCCUGCUACUGCUGCUUCGAGUCAGAACAAUAAAGAGGAAGUAGAUUCUCGAUCAGUCUUUGUCGGCAAUGUGGACUAUUCAUGUACUCCAGAAGAAGUGCAGCAGCAUUUCCAGUCAUGUGGAACCGUAAACCGAGUCACCAUCCGAACUGAUAAGUUUGGCCAACCAAAGGGCUAUGCUUACGUAGAGUUUCUUGAAGUGCAGGCUGUUCAAGAAGCUCUUUCGCUGAAUGAAUCUGAACUACACGGGCGUCAAUUGAAGGUUACUGCUAAGAGGACCAAUAUACCAGGGAUGAAGCAAUAUCGUCCUCGCCGGCCUAAUCCUUACCAGGGGUUUCGAGGCAGAGCCCCGUAUGCACCUCCUUUUGCUUAUGCUCCUUUUGGAUAUGGAAAAGUUCCAAGGUUUAGAAUGGGAAUGCGCUAUAGUCCCUACUAUUAAUUAUGCUGAAUCAGAACUUUUGUCUAAUGGAUGGAAGGACAUAACCUACUCCCUGUUCUAGUGUCAUGGCUGAUGCAGGCCAUUCAGCAUGAGGGAACGAACGGUACGGCCACCGAUUUAGCAGAAAACCUUGAGAAAGAUUGUCCACGCAAUUUCUCGAGUAACCUCAUACCGUGACCCUCUGCACUGAGUAUCAGAAGAACCUGCAUGGUUUACACUUUAGAUUGCUGUAAAUGCCUUCUUAAAUGUAAUCAACUAACAAUUUGAGUGCAUCAGACAUACCAUGCUUAUUAUAGCUGUUCAUUUAAUUAUAUCCUUCACAUGUAUGUAUAAUACUGCAGUGGGCAACUUUGUCACGAAAAAGCAUUGAAAAAUGUGGAAGAACUGA
This is an RNA transcript of Vigna radiata var. radiata (mung bean), 1039 nucleotides long. It is a transcript of the gene named polyadenylate-binding protein 2, with no coding region annotated. The record is from RefSeq and is a predicted model, not a curated record. The transcript has 7 exons. NCBI's taxonomy places the organism in Eukaryota, Viridiplantae, Streptophyta, Magnoliopsida, Fabales, Fabaceae.